This 28-nucleotide small RNA is filed under the name Bombyx mori (domestic silkworm). RNAcentral's name for it is "ovarian small RNA-9426". The record is from RNAcentral. Lineage: Eukaryota; Metazoa; Arthropoda; Insecta; Lepidoptera; Bombycidae.
UUAUACAAGUCGCGUUUUGCCUCGAUGG